RNAcentral lists this ribosomal RNA (423 nucleotides) under uncultured bacterium. Its description in RNAcentral is "bacterial SSU rRNA". It matches the Rfam family "Bacterial small subunit ribosomal RNA", at positions 207 to 622 of the family's 1533-position model. The record is from RNAcentral.
AAGACCUUGCGCUUUUGGAGCGGCCGAUGCCUGAUUAGCUUGUUGGUAGGGUAAAGGCUUACCAAGGCUUCGAUCAGUAGCUGGUCUGAGAGGACGGCCAGCCACACUGGGACUGAGACACGGCCCAGACUCCUACGGGAGGCAGCAGUGGGGAAUUUUGGACAAUGGGGGAAACCCUGAUCCAGCCAUGCCGCGUGAGUGAAGAAGGCCUUCGGGUUGUAAAGCUCUUUCAGCCGGAACGAAACGGUUACGGAUAAUACCCGUGACUACUGACGGUACCGGAAGAAGAAGCACCGGCUAACUACGUGCCAGCAGCCGCGGUAAUACGUAGGGUGCGAGCGUUAAUCGGAAUUACUGGGCGUAAAGCGUGCGCAGGUGGUUUUGUAAGUCAGAUGUGAAAGCCCCGGGCUCAACCUGGGAACU